RNAcentral lists this long non-coding RNA (761 nucleotides) under Ananas comosus (pineapple). Its description in RNAcentral is "long non-coding RNA (ACOM_LNC029095)". Lineage: Eukaryota; Viridiplantae; Streptophyta; Magnoliopsida; Poales; Bromeliaceae. The record is from RNAcentral.
CUGAUAUGCUCAAAGGUCAACCGUCGGCAACCAGCCGACAAUCUUGCCCACAUGGCUCACCGACCGUAUAGGUCAUCAACUGUAAGGAAGCACAAGAACCGACCGCUCAGGUCAACUAGGAUGGAACGACUCUACAUCCUCUCAAAAGUAUGGAAAUACUGCUCGAUGGGUCAACUAAAGUAUAGAUGCAAGAACCAACAAAUAGAUCACAGGAAUGUAUCACUAUAAUCUGGAACUACCGUCAGCCACUAACCGACAAUCCUACCCCUCAGGGUACACCGACCUCAACGGUCAUCGGACAACAGAAGUCAAAGAACCGACCAACCAGGUCACUGAUACGAAGUACAAGAAACCACCAACCAGGUCACCAAUACGAAGUACGAGAAUCGACCAAUCAGGUCACUAAUACGAAGUACAAGAAACCACCAACCAGGUCAUAGGUAUCACAAAUAGAUAGACUACUCUACUCCUACACCUGAUACUAAGCAUGGGAACAUCUGAGUAGAGUGUAACGUAAACAAUAGAGGUGCAAAGCUCAACAUAUAAUAUAUACAUGGAUAAUAACAAAAGAGCAAGGGUAAGAAACCAUCACCGAGCGUGCACCACUGUACCAACGUCGGAUCGAAGUACCCACCUGUAAGGAUGUCGCGCCUAUCUCCUGUCUGCGAAAGAAUGACAACCGGACCUACGGAGGGUCCACCGGGUUAAUAUCUAACCCACAACUAAGAAAUACUAAACACAUAGCCCCACAAAUAAACCCA